CAUUAAAUAGCUUAAAUACAAAGCAUUAACCUUUUAAGUUAAUGAUGAGGUAACUCUUUAAUGU
RNAcentral lists this transfer RNA (64 nucleotides) under Asymmetron lucayanum. Its description in RNAcentral is "tRNA-Lys". It matches the Rfam family "tRNA". From Rfam's summary of the family: Transfer RNA (tRNA) molecules are approximately 80 nucleotides in length. The record is from RNAcentral. Lineage: Eukaryota; Metazoa; Chordata; Leptocardii; Amphioxiformes; Branchiostomatidae.